Molecule: transfer RNA, 100 nt
Filed under: Planctomyces sp. SH-PL62
Lineage: Bacteria; Pseudomonadati; Planctomycetota; Planctomycetia; Planctomycetales; Planctomycetaceae
Description: tRNA-Ala
Source: RNAcentral
CGCCGCGAUCGGCUGGGGAGGGCUUGCGCUGGGGCUGCUGGCGGCGGCCUUCGCGAGAGGCUUCGCGUCGCCGACGUUCGCGGUCGCCGUCGCGCUGGCC